RNAcentral lists this ribosomal RNA (707 nucleotides) under uncultured bacterium. RNAcentral describes it as "bacterial SSU rRNA". It matches the Rfam family "Bacterial small subunit ribosomal RNA", at positions 56 to 769 of the family's 1533-position model. The record is from RNAcentral.
UGCAAGUCGAGCGAGAAGUGACUUCGGUCGCGAGUAAAGCGGCGAACGGGUGAGUACAAGGUGGAUAAUCUACCCUAGGGUCUGGGACAACCCCGAGAAAUCGGGGCUAAUACCGGAUAAGACCACAGUAUCCAAGGAUACAGCGGUAAAAGAUUUAUCGCCUUUGGAUGAGUCCACGCCCCAUCAGGUAGUUGGUAAGGUAAAGGCUUACCAAGCCUAAGACGGGUAGCCGGCCUUAGCGGGUGAACGGCCACAUGGGGACUGAGACACGGCCCUGACUCCUACGGGAGGCAGCAGUGGGGAAUAUUGGGCAAUGGGCGAAAGCCUGACCCAGCGAUGCCGCGUGAGGGAUGAAGGCCUUCGGGUUGUAAACCUCUGUCAGGAGGGACGAUGGGACACUUGUGUCUUGACGGUACCUCCAGAGGAAGCCCCGGCUAACUCCGUGCCAGCAGCCGCGGUAAUACGGAGGGGGCAAGCGUUGCUCGGAAUUACUGGGCGUAAAGGGUCCGCAGGCUGUCAGGCAAGUUGGUUGUGAAAUCCCAAGGCUUAACCUUGGAAUUGCAUCCAAAACUGCCUGACUAGAGUCCAAGAGAGGUUGGCGGAAUUCCCGGUGUAGCGGUGAAAUGCAUAGAUAUCGGGAGGAACACCAGAGGCGAAGGCGGCCAACUGGCUUGGUACUGACGCUCAGGGACGAAAGCGUGGGUAGC